AAAAACAGUUCCACUUGACGUCCUUUUAUUGUUAUUGACAAUUUCUAUCAAUGUCACCAAAGGGGAGAUGAAAUCCUCUCUACAUAGAUAAGUUAUUUUUCAACGAACCAUUUCAAGAAGCAUAUUUACCCCAACCACCAGUGGUACAUUCUUUAAUUCCACCGUAUGAUUUCUUCGUAGGGUUGAUAGCUUGAUAUGGCAGAAUGACAAAAUCAUACCGUAGAAAUCAUUUCAAUACGUUUAAUCACUUCUAGGACAACGUAAAUCAUUCCAAUGUACUGAAUCCAAAGGAGUUCCCUAUGAACUUCAAUGAACCACUUCAAGAAGCAUACUUAUCUCAACCACCCUCAAUACAUUCUUUAGUUGUUUGUUUCUAUUUCUCGAGUGGACUAUUGCUUAGAUACUAUUACCUACCUCUGUAGCUGGAUUGCCAAUCUCCUCAAAUGUAACAUCUUCAGAUCCAGUUAAAAUAGGAAACAAAUUGCACUAUAUAUGUAUCAUAUCCCUAGAAAUAUUAAAGAAAACAUAACUAGCAUUGAUAGUCUUGUUUUUAACGAGAUGAUCUUAUUGUUACCAGUGUUCACAAGCACAUCAUCAAUUUCUUCUCCUGCACUUUCAUCAGCUUCAAUAUUACGGAUGCAACUGUCACAUCGUCACUGCUUAUGUUUUGCAAUGUCUAGUGGAGGAAGUUGCUCCUCGGGGUUACGAAUAAUUGAUCCAUCAAAAGGUGAACAAAUAUUCAUGUCCUUCUUUCUCAUCUCAGCAACAGAUCGUCUAUAUCACACGAAAAAUGACCAACACAUAUAUUGGAUUAUUUCCUUGUCCGAUGAGUUAAUUUUUCAAGCGAUCACUCAACUACUAGUUAUUAUUUAGAAUUAUCCAGAGGGGAUUUGUGUGCCCAGAAAUGUCGGGGGCUGACAACACUAGAAGAAAUUACUUCACAUUUGCGAGGUAAACUUACCUCCUUCGCCAAGUUGUUGUAUAGCUACCACGAAUUUGGCAUGAAGAUCCUCCGUCCAUUGUGCACGCCCUUCGCCUAACAGUCUUGCACUUCUUAUAUUUUUCCCUCAUUAAUCUCAUUUAUCCCAAGGCAAGUUGGGGCUCAAGGAAGUGUUCAUCAUCCAGUUCCUCCGAUACGAGUGAUGUACAAGAAUCAGUUACAGGAGUACACCCAAAAACUUUCGGAUACGAGUGAUGUAUAAGAAUCAGUUACUCCGGAGUACACCCAAAAACUUUCGGAUACGAGUGAUGUACAAGAAUAAGUUACAAGAGUACACCCAAAAACUUGCGAAACAGCUUCCAAGUUAUCAAACAAACAAUGAAGGUUCUCCACAUAUGCCAAAGUUUAGAAAAACAGUAUUAGUUAACUAGUUCUGGUACUUUUGUUAACUCGAAUGCUGCUAAUGCUGGGACAAUGGCAAGAUGACUUACUGUUAAUGCAAGAUAUGUUGAAGAUUGA
Capsicum annuum is the source of this 1459-nucleotide long non-coding RNA. RefSeq lists it as uncharacterized. NCBI's taxonomy places the organism in Eukaryota, Viridiplantae, Streptophyta, Magnoliopsida, Solanales, Solanaceae. The transcript has 2 exons. The record is from RefSeq and is a predicted model, not a curated record.